UACCGUGAAACUGCGAAUGGCUCAUUAAAUCAGUUAUCGUUUAUUUGAUAGUACCUUACCACUUGGAUAACCGUGGUAAUUCUAGAGCUAAUACAUGCUAAAAACCUCGACUUCGGAAGGGGUGUGUUUAUUAGAUAAAAAACCAAUGCCCUUCGGGGCUCUUUGGUGAUUCAUGAUAACCCAACGGAUCGCAUGGCCUUGCGCUGGCGACGGUUCAUUCAAAUUUCUGCCCUAUCAACUUUCGAUGGUAAGGUAUUGGCUUACCAUGGUUUCAACGGGUAACGGGGAAUUAGGGUUCGAUUCCGGAGAGGGAGCCUGAGAAACGGCUACCACAUCCAAGGAAGGCAGCAGGCGCGCAAAUUACCCAAUCCCGACACGGGGAGGUAGUGACAAUAAAUACUGAUACAGGGCUCUUUUGGGUCUUGUAAUUGGAAUGAGUACAAUUUAAACCCCUUAACGAGGAACAAUUGGAGGGCAAGUCUGGUGCCAGCAGCCGCGGUAAUUCCAGCUCCAAUAGCGUAUAUUAAAGUUGUUGCAGUUAAAAAGCUCGUAGUUGAAACUUGGGUCUGGCUAGCGGGUCCGCCUCACCGCGUGCACUUGUCCGGCUGGACCUUUCCUUCUGGAGAACCUCAUGCCCUUCACUGGGUGUGUUGGGGAACCAGGACUUUUACUUUGAAAAAAUUAGAGUGUUCAAAGCAGGCCUUUGCUCGAAUACGUUAGCAUGGAAUAAUAGAAUAGGACGUGCGGUCCUAUUUUGUUGGUUUCUAGGAUCGCCGUAAUGAUUAAUAGGGAUAGUCGGGGGCAUCAGUAUUCAAUUGUCAGAGGUGAAAUUCUUGGAUUUAUUGAAGACUAACUACUGCGAAAGCAUUUGCCAAGGAUGUUUUCAUUAAUCAGUGAACGAAAGUUGGGGGAUCGAAGACGAUCAGAUACCGUCGUAGUCUCAACCGUAACUAUG
This 955-nucleotide ribosomal RNA is filed under the name Byssosphaeria siamensis. RNAcentral's name for it is "SSU rRNA". It matches the Rfam family "Eukaryotic small subunit ribosomal RNA", at positions 77 to 1041 of the family's 1831-position model. Lineage: Eukaryota; Fungi; Ascomycota; Dothideomycetes; Pleosporales; Melanommataceae. The record is from RNAcentral.